Molecule: non-coding RNA, 1462 nt
Organism: Podarcis lilfordi (Lilford's wall lizard)
Lineage: Eukaryota; Metazoa; Chordata; Lepidosauria; Squamata; Lacertidae
Source: the annotation of a GenBank genome assembly
ACACACACACACACACACACACACACACACACACCACUUUAAAUUGUUCUCCAAGAUGUGAAAGGGAGGAAGAAGGAAAACCGAGACAUUCUGGGAUCAAAUCAGAAACCGAGACAGCUUCUGUAAUUCCGGGACUGUCCCUGGAAAAUAGGGACACUUGGAGGGUAUGUAUCAUGCAGUGUGCACAUGCCUUUAUUGUGUAUUCUGCUCUGGUUGUUUUCAUUUCCUCCAUUUGUUUGUUUAGGAUGAUAUUGUUUUAUUGUAUUUGGGCGCAUGGUUAGUUUAUAUCAUACUUUUUAUUCCUGGCAUUUGUCGGGGCUGGAGUCAGAUGCAGGUCAGCAAUAAAGGAAGCAGAUCUCAGUAGUUAGUGAAGUUAACUCUUCACUAGAGUUCAUUCAAGGAAACAAACAAACAGCUCGGCUUAGUGGUCUCAGCAACACUUCCCAGUAGGUCUUGCCCCUAUGGAGCAGUUGCCGGAACUGAAGGUCCCUCCCUUCUGCCCUCUCUAAGGCUCCUCUUUUCCCGGAUGUUUCCCAAGCAGUUUCAAACAAUGUCUGCACACCUCUAGCCUCUGUUCUACUCUCCUCGUUAUUCUGUUCCUGGAGACGGGGCUGUGGAGCUUGUCACAGCAGGAGAGGGAGACAGCAGUCCCUUGAACCCCUCCUCUGCUUUAGCCUCGGAGUCUGAACUGCUCCCUGUCACAUGCUCUUCCUGCUCACUAAACCCUGCUGCCCCUCCAGCAUCCAGCACCUCCUCCCCCCACUCUUCUCCCUCUGACCUCUCCUUAGUGCUCCACCACCAAUCCCCUGGCUUUGAGACUUCCUCCUCUGGGGUUACCCUUGGGCUGGGGCAAAACUAGCCUUUGUUUCACCUGGGUCAAAGACACCCCCAUGCACAUUUGCGUACACAAACGAACAGGCUGGGAGCCUCAAUGACGCCCCUCUGGAGGCUUCAUCUGGGGUAUUAAAAAAACCGCCUAGCGCUCCCCCUGUAGCUACGGCACUGCCUUGGGGGUUCCCUGGCUGGUACCUCCAACCACUCCUCUUCAUCCAUUCAGUUCCUGACAGUAUCUGGAGAUGAAGGAUGAUUUACGUGUUGUGUAUUCAGUUUCAUAUUGUAAAUUUAAAGUUGUGUUGUAUAUGUAAACGCAAUAUGUAAGAGGUUGUAACGCAGGGGUAGAGCACGUGCAAAAGUUCCCAUGUUCUUACUUUGUUUUUUUUUAGACUUAAGUACAGUGGAACCUCGGUUGUCAAACGUAAUUCAUUCCGGAAGACCGUUUGACUUCUGAAAUGUUCGACAACCGAGGCUCAAUGGAUGGCUGGCAAAUUCCAUUGAGAAAAUGGAGAAACGCUCUUUGGAAGCCGUUCAACUUCCGAGGCGCAUUCGAAAACAAGCAAUUUCUUCCAGGUUUUCGGCAUACGAAAACUGAAAUGUAUGGCUUCCCAGACGCUCAUAAACCGAG